UUGUCUCAAAGAUUAAGCCAUGCAUGUCUAAGUAUAAGCAAUUAUACAGCGAAACUGCGAAUGGCUCAUUAUAUAAGUUAUCGUUUAUUUGAUAGUGCCUUACUACUUGGAUAACCGUGGUAAUUCUAGAGCUAAUACAUGCUAAAAAACCCGACUUUGGAAGGGUUGUAUUUAUUAGAUUAAAAACCAAUGCCCUCUGGGCUCACUGGUGAAUCAUGAUAACUUCUCGAAUCGCAUGGCCUUGUGCCGGCGAUGGCUCAUUCAAAUUUCUUCCCUAUCAACUUUCGAUGUUUGGGUAGUGGCCAAACAUGGUUGCAACGGGUAACGGAGGGUUAGGGCUCGACCCCGGAGAAGGAGCCUGAGAAACGGCUACUACAUCCAAGGAAGGCAGCAGGCGCGCAAAUUACCCAAUCCCGAUUCGGGGAGGUAGUGACAAUAAAUACUGAUACAGGGCUCUUUUGGGUCUUGUAAUUGGAAUGAGUACAAUUUAAAUCCCUUAACGAGGAACAAUUAGAGGGCAAGUCUGGUGCCAGCAGCCGCGGUAAUUCCAGCUCUAAUAGCGUAUAUUAAAGUUGUUGUGGUUAAAAAGCUCGUAGUUGAA
RNAcentral lists this ribosomal RNA (601 nucleotides) under Ophiocordyceps dipterigena. RNAcentral describes it as "SSU rRNA". It matches the Rfam family "Eukaryotic small subunit ribosomal RNA", at positions 32 to 638 of the family's 1831-position model. The record is from RNAcentral. Lineage: Eukaryota; Fungi; Ascomycota; Sordariomycetes; Hypocreales; Ophiocordycipitaceae.